GGGAGCUUACAGCAGGGGGUGGGGGGGAAGGGGAGCCCUCAGUAAAAUUUGCUGACCUGGGGGUUCUUGGUGAAUUGUUGUGAAUUCAGAGUGAUCAUCUCUUAUCAAAAAGGGCAUUCCCUGGUAAACUUUGCAGUUGGUCCCCUGCCAUGAGGGUGGAUACCCCAUCCUCCCCCACCUCCUCCGCUACUGCAUAUAGUCAUGGGUGUGGUCCUCACAUUGAUGAGCAAUCCACUAAAGGAGCUCUAAAAUGAAAGAUGUACAUAGGAGCUACGGGUGUAAUUGCAAACGUAAGCCAGCUGAGUCUGGCCUGGACAGCUGGCUGAUUGGCCGGAACAGAAAUGCAGGCUUCACAAGGACUAUUCAGCUCCUCUUUUACUCUCCUACAUGCCUUUAUUUGUAUCAAGUAGAAAAAGACAAUAUAGUCGGUAAUAUAAAGACUAACUCUUAAGACCACUUAAGUUAUAUAUAUAUAUAUAUAUAUAACCACUAUUGUAGAUUUCCAUCAUUCAUUUUAAAUAAAUGAAAUUAUCUUACGUCAUGAUUUGUUCCUUGAGUGAUUCCCCGCUCAUGAAUAUGACGAUCUCUCUUUCAUCACCUUCUGGUGUAAUGAGAUACUGACAUCCAAAACAGUCCAUCCAUCUAUCAUCCAGCUAUUCUCUAUAGCUGUUUGUCCUAUGCAAAGUAACAGGGGUCCAGAACCUAUCCCAGAAGCUACAAGCCCAAGGAGGGCACCCAGCAUGGGGUGCCACCCUAUGGCAGGGCACACUCACACACCAUGCACAUACACAUUCACACACUCACACACCAUGCACAUACACACUCACACACUCACACACCAUGCACAUACACAUUCACACACUCACACACCAUGCACAUGCACACUCACACACCAUGCACAUACACAUUCACACACUCACACACCAUGCACAUACACAUUCACACACUCACACACCAUGCACAUACACACUCACACACUCACACACCAUGCACAUACACACUCACACACCAUGCACAUACUCACUCACACACCAUACACAUACACAUUCACACACUCACACACCAUGCACAUACACAUUCACACACCAUGCACAUACACACUCACACACCAUGCACAUACACAUUCACACACUCACACACCAUGCACAUACACAUUCACACACUCACACACCAUGCACAUACAUAUUCACACCUACUGAUUUGGGGAGAAACCGGAGAACCUGGAGCAAACCUUACGACAACCCCCUGAAAGAGUCUGUAUGUCUAAUACAAUUUCAUAAUACAGUUUUUACCCAUUGCUUGAACACUAUAGACACAUGCUUAAACCAAAGUAACAUAACUUGAAGUUGUUGUUACUAUACCUUAAACAAAGUGUAACCAUACCUUAAACAAAAGUGCUGCUUAGCACUUUAGUUGCAAUUCUGCAACACACUUACUCCUUUCUACAACACACUUAUUCCUGCACACUACACACUGUGUCAUACAUAAGACACUUCAUUCAAAAAUGAAAUCUCAGGGUACCAGUGGGAAAAAUAAUCUCAUUUUGAACAUCUAUUCAAAAUACAAAACACAUUGGGCAAUUGAAAAUACUUAGACACACACCUGAAAAUACUUACUUACAAAAUGGAACACCAAUCAGCCAGCUACAAAAACACCUCACUUAAGCCAUUUUGAGAAGUUUGCAAGCAUGGAAGCAGGGAGAGCUAGUGGCAGAGGUAGAGGAAGACAGACAGACAGACAGACAGACAGACAGACAGACAGACAGACAGACAGACAGACAGGCAGGCAGGCAGGCAGAGAGAGAGAGAGAGAGAGAGAGAGAGAGAGAGAGAGGAGGAAGUGGUCGAAGAGGCUAUGCAAGGACCAUUAUUUCUGAUGACAUAAGAGCAACUUUGGUGGACCAUGUCAUAAACCAUGGCCUGGCUGUGAGGGAAGCUGGGCAGAGAGUCCACCCUAAUCUAAGCCGUUUCACAGUUUCAUCCAUAAUAAGGACAUUCCGACUGGAAAACAGGUAUGUCUUCAACUCUCUACUCUACUCAGACUGUAUCUAGAGUAUUUACAAUACUGUACCAUAUCACAUUGCCGUAUCACAUGUACUGUAUUUCAGGGUGACUAAUGCUCCUUUUUGAACAAAAGUAGUAGUUUUGUGAAACAUACGAUGAUAAUGUGUUGAAAUGUUUCAGCACUAUGUAUGGUAUACACAGUAAAGUACAGUAUAUACAGUACUGUAAAAAAGAAGCAAACCAAUAACAAUUUCUGGUUGCAUUUUUCUACAGAAUGGCUAGAAGACCUACUGGGGGUGGAUGGCAGCACCUGUUCACACAACAGCAGGAACUUGUCAUUGUGAACCUAGUGAGAGCAAACAAUGCAAUCCGUCUCCACCAGCUACAGCAACAAAUACUUCAAGAUAGGCAGGUAUUCAACAACAUAAAUCGAGUAAGCAUUACCACUAUCAGACGCAUCCUGGUAAAGCACAACAUGACCAUGAAGCAACUGUACAGGGUCCCAUUUGAGAUGAACAGUGUCAGGGUCAAAGGACUUCGACAUGAAUAUGUACAGAGAAUCUUGGACAUGGAUGGAGCUGCUCAGCCUCAUGAAUAUAUUUACGUUGACGAGGCUGGAUUCAACCUUAGCAAAAGUACACGACGGGGACGUAAUAUACUUGGCCAAAGGGCGAUUGUGCACGUCCCGGGGCAGCGCGGGGGAAAUAUCACAUUGUGUGUCGCCAUAAGCCUCCGAGGGCUACUGCACCAUCAUUCCAAACUGGGUCCAUAUAAUGCGCAACACAUAAUCAUAUUUCUAGAUGCACUUCAUGAUGCAGCUGUACAGGACAGACCAGAGCAGCUCAGGUUUGUUGUUGUCUGGGAUAAUGUCAGUUUCCAUUAGGCUGCUAUCGUCCGGAACUGGUUCACCAACCAUGAUCAAUUUGAAGUUGUGUAUUUGCCCCCUUACUCACCAUUUCUCAACCCUAUAGAAGAGUUUUUUUCUGCUUGGAGAUGGCGCGUAUAUGACCGCCAAUCACAUGCCCGCACGCCUCUUCUGCAGGCAAUGGAACAGGCCUGCGGAGACAUUGAGGUAAGGUCAAUCCAUGAAUGGAUUUGGCACACAAGGGGAUAUUUCCCCGAUGCUUAGCAAGAGAAGACAUUGCUUGUGAUGUUGAUGACAUCCUGUGGCCAGACCCCAACAGACGGCAGGAUCCAUAAGUCCACUUAUGCACAAUUGUGUUUUUCUGUGUUUACAGUAGUGUAUUUGUUUUAUUGUUGCUUUAACUGAAUUUACUGUAAAGUACACGACUGUAAUGUACAGUAUUUAGUAUUUCAUUUUUUGGGUGUUGUGAAAACGUGCCUUCUGUGGAACUGAAUAAAAACAGUGCAAACAAAA
Brienomyrus brachyistius is the source of this 3381-nucleotide long non-coding RNA. RefSeq lists it as uncharacterized. The transcript is spliced from 2 exons. The record is from RefSeq and is a predicted model, not a curated record. NCBI's taxonomy places the organism in Eukaryota, Metazoa, Chordata, Actinopteri, Osteoglossiformes, Mormyridae.